GCAAAUCGUGCAUCUGACGGCCAGGGACAACCAAGAUGUGGGAUCCAAUGGCCAAAAAUGUUCAGGUCAUUAGAAGCCUCGGUUUAGGUUCGGUUAUACUGUCUUAAAUAACAUCCUGUGACGGUUGUCGAAUCACAGUAUACCGACUGAAGACUUGACAACUCAUAGCCUCAUAGCCAUAUGACAAAUUUGAGUUUGUGUGGAGUGUGUGGAAGAAUAAAAACGACAUGAUGAUGCAAAAACGACCGACAUCACUCCACACUUCUAGCCCCAAACCUGUGGGAGUUAACACUACAACCUCAGGUAAUGGGCUGCGGGUCCAAGCCCGGCCAAAAGUAUGUAGUGAAUGUUUUUUUUUUGCCUCGGCAGACCUACCUAAUGGACCAGGUUAGGAUGCGUCGUCGGCGAGUGCCACAGUGGAUACAUGCUAUUUAAGCUGGAAAAUAAGUUCUGAGAGAUGGAGCUGAAAAAUAAGUUCUAUGCCGGACGA
Molecule: long non-coding RNA, 490 nt
Filed under: Hordeum vulgare
Lineage: Eukaryota; Viridiplantae; Streptophyta; Magnoliopsida; Poales; Poaceae
Description: long non-coding RNA (HVUL_LNC020709)
Source: RNAcentral